RNAcentral lists this long non-coding RNA (95 nucleotides) under Coturnix japonica (Japanese quail). RNAcentral's name for it is "lncRNA (ENSCJPG00005006088.1)". Lineage: Eukaryota; Metazoa; Chordata; Aves; Galliformes; Phasianidae. The record is from RNAcentral.
CAGCUUGAGUUAUUGGGGUAAUUAUCAGAUUUCACUUUGGGCCUUCGCAUUGCUGGGGGUGGUUGAAGAAAUAAAGCAUUAACUCACGCAGUUAA